UGCAUGCACCUUUGAGAUUUGUUCAUUUGUUUGUGCAUUCAGUGCAUAAUGGAUGGAUCACUUUCUCCAUGGUGGAUAUUGGACAAGAGCCCGGACAUGAACUGAUUUCAGUGGAAACCAAGUGGGGAACCUGGACUUCUCAUCUCAUACGUAAGUAGAAAGCAUCCUGCCCUUCUUCCACUGGAACAGUAACAGAGGAGAACUGUUAAAAACAUAAGAUUUAAGUACAAUCCAGGCUUAUAAUACCCAAAUGUUCACAUGACAUAGAAAAGAACAGAAAGAUCUCAACUUGAAUAAGAAAAGACAAUCAACAAAUGCCAAUAUUGAAAUGACACAGAUGUUAGAAUGAUCUGACAUGAAUUUUAAAGGAGUUGUGAUAAAAAUGCUUCAAUGAGCAAUGACAGUCUUGAAACAAAUGAAAACAGAAAUAUUCAGAAAAGAAAUAGAAACUAUCAAAGAAAUAAAAGAUAUAAAGAAGAAUCAAAUGGAAAUUUUAGAACAAAAACACAAUAACCAAAAUAAAAAACUCAAUGAAUGAACUCCAUAGAAGAAUGGAGUGAACGGAAUAUAGAGUCAGUGAAGUUGAGGACAGAACAACAGAAUUCACCCAAUCUGGACAACUAAGAGAACAUAGACAAAAAAAAAA
Molecule: long non-coding RNA, 646 nt
Organism: Vicugna pacos (alpaca)
Lineage: Eukaryota; Metazoa; Chordata; Mammalia; Artiodactyla; Camelidae
Source: RefSeq, a predicted model, not a curated record